GACCUCAAAUCAGGUAGGACUACCCGCUGAACUUAAGCAUAUCAAUAA
RNAcentral lists this ribosomal RNA (48 nucleotides) under Cortinarius diasemospermus. RNAcentral describes it as "partial 25S ribosomal RNA". The record is from RNAcentral. Lineage: Eukaryota; Fungi; Basidiomycota; Agaricomycetes; Agaricales; Cortinariaceae. RNAcentral also lists the same sequence under 8 other names.